Molecule: ribosomal RNA, 442 nt
Filed under: uncultured bacterium
Lineage: Bacteria
Description: partial 16S ribosomal RNA
Rfam family: Bacterial small subunit ribosomal RNA
Source: RNAcentral
CCUACGGGGGGCAGCAGUGGGGAAUAUUGGGCAAUGGGCGCAAGCCUGACCCAGCAACGCCGCGUGAAGGAAGAAGGCUUUCGGGUUGUAAACUUCUGUUGAGAGGGAAGAGCAGAAGACGGUACCUCUUGAAUAAGCUACGGCUAACUACGUGCCAGAAGCCGCGGUAAUACGGAGGUGGCCAGCGGUGUCCGGAUUUACUGGGUGUAAAGGGCGUGUAGCCGGGCUGACAAGUCCGAUGUGAAAUGGCGGGGCUCAACCCCGGACCUGCAUUUGAAACUGUUGGUCUUGAGUAUCGGAGAGGCAGGCGGAAUUCCUAGUGUAGCGGUGAAAUGCGUAGAUAUUAGGAGGAACACCAGUGGCGAAGGCGGCCUGCUGGACGACAACUGACGGUGAGGCGCGAAAGCGUGGGGAGCAAACAGGAUUAGAUACCCGAGUAGUC